UUGAACGCUGGCGGCAUGCUUUACCCCUGCCAGUCGAACGGUAACAGGCCUUCGGGUGCUGACGAGUGGCGAACGGGUGAGUAAUGCAUCGGAACGUGCCCAGAGGUGGGGGAUAACGCAGCGAAAGCUGUGCUAAUACCGCAUGUGAUCUGAGGAUGAAAGCGGGGGACCAGGCAGCAAUGUUUGGCCUCGCGCCUUUGGAGCGGCCGAUGUCAGAUUAGGUAGUUGGUGGGGUAAAGGCCUACCAAGCCGACGAUCUGUAGCUGGUCUGAGAGGACGACCAGCCACACUGGGACUGAGACACGGCCCAGACUCCUACGGGAGGCAGCAGUGGGGAAUUUUGGACAAUGGGCGCAAGCCUGAUCCAGCAAUGCCGCGUGCGGGAAGAAGGCCUUCGGGUUGUAAACCGCUUUUGUACGGAACGAAAAGGCUCUGGCUAAUACCUGGGGCUGAUGACGGUACCGUAAGAAUAAGCACCGGCUAACUACGUG
RNAcentral lists this ribosomal RNA (491 nucleotides) under uncultured bacterium. RNAcentral's name for it is "partial 16S ribosomal RNA". It matches the Rfam family "Bacterial small subunit ribosomal RNA", at positions 30 to 507 of the family's 1533-position model. The record is from RNAcentral.